GAACAUCAAAUUCUCUAGUAUUAGUCAAAAAUUACAUGCUUGGCAAUUCAACAUACUUAUUUGAUAUUUACAAUCCAUGGCCUAUUGCCCAAUUAUUGUCCAAGCACCAUGCAAACACCAAAAACAAAGAAAAUAAACAAAGAAUAUUUUGAAAUUUUUGAAAAAGUGCAUAGAAACAAAAAAAUAAACAUAUAAAAAAAAUAGACAAGCAAACAAAACACAUAAAUUAAAAUUUCUACACACACCCCCCACAUUUAAGUUACAAAUCGUCCCCAAUGUGUCCCAACUAAAGAUAAAGUAUAAGGAAACUCCCUUGGUUUAAGGUUAUGUGAAGCAAAAUGGUGGAGUCGUCCUUAAACUUCUUUGAAGCUCUCAAUGUUGUGUAGCUCUUGAUGGGUAGACCUACAUAGAAAAACAAAGCAGACACCACAAAAACAAAAUAUACAACAAAAAGAAAAUAAAAACAACAUAAAAACUAGCAAAAAGAAAACUUAUCGAAUUUUGGGCGACCCGUAUCCC
RNAcentral lists this long non-coding RNA (519 nucleotides) under Gossypium raimondii (Peruvian cotton). RNAcentral describes it as "long non-coding RNA (GRAI_LNC003985)". The record is from RNAcentral. Lineage: Eukaryota; Viridiplantae; Streptophyta; Magnoliopsida; Malvales; Malvaceae.